AUUGAACGCUGGCGGCAGGCUUAACACAUGCAAGUCGAACGAGUGGCGGACGGGUGAGUAAUGUAUGGGGAUCUGCCUGAUGGAGGGGGAUAACUACUAGAAACGGUAGCUAAUACCGCAUACCAUCAGAUGAACCCAUAUGGGAUUAGCUAGUAGGUAAGGUAAAGGCUUAACUAGGCGAAGCUCCCUAGCUGGUCUGAGAGGAUGAUCGUCCACACUGGGACUGAGACACGGCCCAGACGCCUACGGGAGGCAGCAGUGGGGAAUAUUGGACAAUGGGCGCAAGUCUGAUGCAGCCAUGCCGCGUGUAUGAAGAAGGCCUUCGGGUUGUAAAGUACUUUCAGCGGGGAGGCGUUACUCGCAGAAGAAGCACCGGCUAACUCCGUGCCAGCAGCCGCGGUAAUAC
This 406-nucleotide ribosomal RNA is filed under the name uncultured bacterium. Its description in RNAcentral is "partial 16S ribosomal RNA". It matches the Rfam family "Bacterial small subunit ribosomal RNA", at positions 30 to 526 of the family's 1533-position model. The record is from RNAcentral.